GAUGAACGCUAGCGGCAGGCCUAAUACAUGCAAGUCGAGGGGUAGAAGAGGCUUGCUACUUUGAGACCGGCGCACGGGUGCGUAACGCGUAUGCAACCUACCUUCAUCUGGGGGAUAGCCCGGAGAAAUCCGGAUUAAUACCGCAUAAAAUCACAGGAUGGCAUUAUCCAAUGAUCAAACAUUUAUGGGAUGGAGAUGGGCAUGCGUGUCAUUAGCUAGUUGGCGGGGUAACGGCCCACCAAGGCGACGAUGACUAGGGGAUCUGAGAGGAUGGCCCCCCACACUGGUACUGAGACACGGACCAGACUCCUACGGGAGGCAGCAGUAAGGAAUAUUGGUCAAUGGAGGCAACUCUGACCCCGCCAUGCCGCGUGCAGGAAGACUGCCCUAUGGGUUGUAAACUGCUUUUAUUCGGGAAUAAACCUUAUUACGUGUAAUAAGCUGAAUGUACCGAAGGAAUAAGGAUCGGCUAACUCCGUGCCAGCCGCCGCGGUAA
Molecule: ribosomal RNA, 496 nt
Filed under: uncultured bacterium
Lineage: Bacteria
Description: partial 16S ribosomal RNA
Rfam family: Bacterial small subunit ribosomal RNA
Source: RNAcentral